CUACGGGUGGCUGCAGUGGGGAAUAUUGGACAAUGGGGGAAACCCUGAUCCAGCAAUGCCGCGUGUGUGAAGAAGGCCUGCGGGUUGUAAAGCACUUUCGGUUGGGAGGACUGCUUCUAGCACUAAUAUUGUUGGAAGUUGACGUUACCUUCAGAAGAAGCACCGGCUAACUCCGUGCCAGCAGCCGCGGUAAUACGGAGGGUGCAUGCGUUAAUCGGAAUUACUGGGCGUAAAGCGCGCGUAGGCGGCUAGAUCAGUCGGGUGUGAAAGCCCCGGGCUUAACCUGGGAACUGCAUCCGAUACUGUCUAGCUUGAGUACAGGAGAGGAGGGUGGAAUUCCACAUGUAGCGGUGAAAUGCGUAGAUAUGUGGAGGAACACCAAUGGCGAAGGCAGCUCUCUGGCCUGAUACUGACGCUGAGGUGCGAAAGCGUGGGGAGCAAACAGGAUUAGAUACCCGAGUAGUC
This 465-nucleotide ribosomal RNA is filed under the name uncultured bacterium. RNAcentral's name for it is "partial 16S ribosomal RNA". It matches the Rfam family "Bacterial small subunit ribosomal RNA", at positions 339 to 795 of the family's 1533-position model. The record is from RNAcentral.